Long non-coding RNA from Macadamia integrifolia, 650 nucleotides. RefSeq lists it as uncharacterized. The transcript has 3 exons. Lineage: Eukaryota; Viridiplantae; Streptophyta; Magnoliopsida; Proteales; Proteaceae. The record is from RefSeq and is a predicted model, not a curated record.
UUCUGAACAGCAAGAAGAAGAAAGAAGAGAGAAGAAGAAGAAGAGAAGAGAAGAAGAGAAGGGAAGAGGAGGAGGUUCGGCUAGAGAUUUCAGUCCUUAGGUUUUUGAUAGAGGGUUCAGCUGCAAGGAAUUUCAAAUAGCUGUGAGAGAGCUUGUUCUACACCAAGAGGAGAGAUAGUCGGUUUUGGUUUUCAUUAUGAGGAGAGCAGUCACCUACAAAAUUCUAGUUCUGAGCAUGAUGCUAUGGCUAUGGAUUAGUUGGCUUGUAUACAGGAUUUUGAUGAUCUCAGUCAUGGACCAGAUUGUGAGCGCGACGAGUGUGUCUAUGGUGGACAAUGUUUAUGAGAUCUGAUGUUUACAAUCGUUCUUUUGUGUACAUAUGGAUGGUUACAGCAAUCAGUUUUGGUCGAUCAGAUUACAGGUGGGAGACUUGUUAUGUUUGACAGGUGGGAGAUACAUUUUGUGUAAUUAAUAGGUGAGAGAGAGAUGUUAAUGAUAUGACAAGUGGGAGAUUCUUUUGUGUGUAUACUUGGAUAUAUGGAUUACUGUAAUAUAAUGGAUUACUGUAUAUAACAUUGUGGAUCAUUGUGAAUCUAAUAUCAGGUAUCACAUAGAUGCACUGGGUGAAUAUUAGCUUUAUUUGAUUUUAA